GUGCUUGUAGCUCAGCUGGAUAGAGCAACGGCCUUCUAAGCCGUGGGUCGGGGGUUCGAAUCCCUCCAGGCACGCCA
RNAcentral lists this transfer RNA (77 nucleotides) under Clostridiales bacterium. RNAcentral's name for it is "tRNA-Arg". It matches the Rfam family "tRNA". Rfam says of the family: Transfer RNA (tRNA) molecules are approximately 80 nucleotides in length. Their secondary structure includes four short double-helical elements and three loops (D, anti-codon, and T loops). The record is from RNAcentral. Lineage: Bacteria; Bacillati; Bacillota; Clostridia; Eubacteriales.